Puntigrus tetrazona (Sumatra barb) is the source of this 711-nucleotide long non-coding RNA. RefSeq lists it as uncharacterized. The record is from RefSeq and is a predicted model, not a curated record. The transcript has 2 exons. NCBI's taxonomy places the organism in Eukaryota, Metazoa, Chordata, Actinopteri, Cypriniformes, Cyprinidae.
CGCCGGUCGACACUUUUGACGCUUCUGGCAUAUUCAGCACUAUGCUCCACGAGACUUCAGUCGUUACUUUUUUUUGAAAACGACCAAAGACACCAAAUGAGAAUUGCCUAGCAGUUGUGUUGGAAGCUGUUUCUAAUGUCCAGCUCUAGUUUACUGGGAAACAAUUGAAUACAAGAAGACCAUGGUAGGUUGGUUCAUUUUUUUAGGUGGCAAACUAGAAGAAACCGUAUCACAAACCCUGUUAUUGCAUGAACACACACUCUAUGUCGUACUUUAUUAUUUCUAUAUGAAAUAAUAAAAAAAAUCUUUAAGAUAAAUCAAUAGACUUGUAAGCGAAGAUUAUUUACUAAUUUUCUAAAAUGUUUUAUUAUUGUUUUAAAAUAUCAGAAAGAGCUUAUACGUCUUGAUUUUAUUAAGUUAUUACAUUGUAAAACAGUCAGAUAUUAAUAUAGUAACAUGGCAGUUUAUUUAUUUUUUAUAGUUAUCAGAGGAGAAAAAACAUGUCGUCCACCUUAAUCUUGUUAAACCAUUUUAGUGUAUUUUUACAUUUGACAUAGCACAUGACACAAAGUGAAUAAAUCAGGAAUAGCUCAGGGUCCAGUAAAUAUCACAACCAUCCAUCCAAAACCAAACAAUCAAGACCAAUUCAAAAAUACAGUGUAAAAAUGUAAUAUAAAAAAAAAUAUUUAGGUAAUUAUUUUUUUUUUUUUU